UCUAGUCCUUCAUCCCAAAUGUACAACUUUUGGGUAGUGGGAUUCAUCCUAUGCAACUACAGACCAAAAUCACUUACAUGAUAUGGAGACACCUGAAGAUGUAGGUGCUAGGAGAUGAGAUAAAUCAUCCUAUAUUCCACCAGCUAUACAGGGAGAGGAGGGGAAAAAUCAUGUCCAGCUGUGCUCAGCACAGCUUUAAGGAUUUCACCUGAUCCUCCUCACCAGCGGCUAAAAAGUUAUUUAAGUUCAACACUAAGGAGUUUGGGUUUGCUGGCACAUGUACUUUCAGUCCAGGAAUGGAACUGCUGUUCAUGAGUUCACUGCCACCAUCAACUCCCAGAAAUCAAGCAAAAAGAAGCACUUAAACCUUUUGAUUCAAGCUGGAGAAAACACAGGGCUGUCCCAUCGUGCCUCUUUGAGGGAACGGUCUCUGAGGAGCUUGGUCAGCAGGGCAGAGAGGAAACCUUGUGGUUGACACACAGGUGGAAGAUGUGAGACACAACAUGAGGAAGUGCAAAGCUGACAUAGUCCUGGCUUGGAACAUCCCAUGUGUGUGAACCUCUUUCUGACAGUUUUGCUCUAAAACUCCAGGCUUGGAGCACCCCACAUGCCUGACUGUAUUGAACUUCUUCCUGCCAGAAUUCCUCUAGAACAUUUGGGGACUCCAGCUAAGCCAUCAUCAAGCAAGGGCCUUUGCU
Molecule: long non-coding RNA, 698 nt
Organism: Vidua chalybeata
Lineage: Eukaryota; Metazoa; Chordata; Aves; Passeriformes; Viduidae
Exons: 3
Source: RefSeq, a predicted model, not a curated record